GUUCAGCUAAAGCUCGUAGUUGGAUUUGUGGCUGUCACGGGCGGCCUAUCACUUAGUGUUAGUGCUUGCCUGUGUCGCCAUCCUUGGGUGGAGCCCGUGUGGCAUUAGGUUGUCGUGCGGGGGAUGCCCAUCGUUUACUGUGAGAAAAUUAGAGUGUUCAAAGCAGGCUUAUGCCGUUGAAUAUGUUAGCAUGGAAUAAUAAGAUAGGACCUCGGUACUAUUUUGUUGGUUUGCGCACCGAGGUAAUGAUUAAUAGGGACAGUUGGGGGUAUUCGUAUUCCAUUGUCAGAGGUGAAAUUCUUGGAUUUCUGGAAGACGAACUACUGCGAAAGCAUUUACCAAGGAUGUUUUCAUUAAUCAAGAACGAAAGUUAGGGGAUCGAAGAUGAUUAGAUAAUUUCGGUAGUCA
Molecule: ribosomal RNA, 408 nt
Filed under: Psammodictyon panduriforme var. continuum
Lineage: Eukaryota; Bacillariophyta; Bacillariophyceae; Bacillariales; Bacillariaceae
Description: SSU rRNA
Rfam family: Eukaryotic small subunit ribosomal RNA
Source: RNAcentral